UACGGAGGGGGCUAGCGUUGUUCGGAAUUACUGGGCGUAAAGCGCGCGUAGGCGGACCUGCAAGUCGGGGGUGAAAGCCCGAGGCUCAACCUCGGAACUGCCUUCGAUACUGCGGGUCUCGAGUCCGGGGGAGGUGAGUGGAAUUCCUAGUGUAGAGGUGAAAUUCGUAGAUAUUAGGAAGAACACCAGUGGCGAAGGCGGCUCACUGGCCCGGUACUGACGCUGAGACGCGAAAGCGUGGGGAGCGAACAGG
This 253-nucleotide ribosomal RNA is filed under the name uncultured bacterium. RNAcentral's name for it is "partial 16S ribosomal RNA". It matches the Rfam family "Bacterial small subunit ribosomal RNA", at positions 524 to 776 of the family's 1533-position model. The record is from RNAcentral.